RNAcentral lists this ribosomal RNA (460 nucleotides) under uncultured bacterium. Its description in RNAcentral is "partial 16S ribosomal RNA". It matches the Rfam family "Bacterial small subunit ribosomal RNA", at positions 338 to 795 of the family's 1533-position model. The record is from RNAcentral.
CCUACGGGUGGCAGCAGUGAGGAAUAUUGGUCAAUGGACGAGAGUCUGAACCAGCCAAGUAGCGUGAAGGAUGACUGCCCUAUGGGUUGUAAACUUCUUUUAUAUGGGAAUAAAACGUUCCACGUGUGGGAUUUUGUAUGUACCAUAUGAAUAAGGAUCGGCUAACUCCGUGCCAGCAGCCGCGGUAAUACGGAGGAUCCGAGCGUUAUCCGGAUUUAUUGGGUUUAAAGGGAGCGUAGGUGGAUUGUUAAGUCAGUUGUGAAAGUUUGCGGCUCAACCGUAAAAUUGCAGUUGAAACUGGCAGUCUUGAGUACAGUAGAGGUGGGCGGAAUUCGUGGUGUAGCGGUGAAAUGCUUAGAAAUCACGAAGAACUCCGAUUGCGAAGGCAGUUCACUGGACUGCAACUGACACUGAGGCUCGAAAGUGUGGGUAUCAAACAGGAUUAGAUACCCCAGUAGUC